RNAcentral lists this ribosomal RNA (605 nucleotides) under Pseudopontia paradoxa. Its description in RNAcentral is "eukaryotic LSU rRNA". It matches the Rfam family "Eukaryotic large subunit ribosomal RNA", at positions 403 to 876 of the family's 3401-position model. The record is from RNAcentral. Lineage: Eukaryota; Metazoa; Arthropoda; Insecta; Lepidoptera; Pieridae.
AACCGUUCAGGGGUAAACCUGCGAAACUCGAAUGAACGAACGGAGAGAUUCAUCGUCAUUCCGCGGCGUACGGCGCGCCCUUCGAUUGACGGGGUGCCCCGUCGCCACGUUCGCGGACGGCGUGCACUUCUCUCUCAGUAACGUCGCGACCCGUUCGCGGUUUAAGCGUGGCUCGGGAGCCGUGCGAUCGGACGGUAGUUGGGAAUCGCGCACGCGCCUAGCGCGUCAGGCCCGACGCAAGUGGCGUACGCCUGCCGUUGUGCGGCCGCUGACUGUACGCCGCUGUCGUCGCAGCCGUUGUCUCUGACCGUGCGCGUGUCCGUCUGCGAUGUUUCCGUUUCGGGCACUCGCAGGACCCGUCUUGAAACACGGACCAAGGAGUCUAGCAUGUGUGCGAGUCAUUGGGUUAAAACCGAGAGGCGCAACGAAAGUGAAGGCGCGCGCCGCGCGCUCAGGGGGGAUGGAGGACCGAUCUCUCGCACCCCCGAGGCGUCUCGUUUCCAAUCUGUGAAUGCAGGCGCGCUCUGAGCACAGAUGCUGGGACCCGAAAGAUGGUGAACUAUGCCUGGUCAGGUCGAAGUCAGGGGAAACCCUGAUGGAGGACC